Molecule: ribosomal RNA, 274 nt
Filed under: uncultured bacterium
Lineage: Bacteria
Description: partial 16S ribosomal RNA
Rfam family: Bacterial small subunit ribosomal RNA
Source: RNAcentral
AUACGGAGGGUGCAAGCGUUAAUCGGAAUUACUGGGCGUAAAGCGUACGUAGGCGGUUCGUUAAGUUAGAUGUGAAAGCCCCGGGCUUAACCUGGGAACUGCAUUUAAAACUGGCGGACUAGAGUUGAGUAGAGGGGAGUGGAAUUUCAGGUGUGGCGGUGAAAUGCGUAGAGAUCUGAAGGAACACCAGUGGCGAAGGCGACUCCCUGGACUCGAACUGACGCUGAGGUACGAAAGCGUGGGUAGCAAACGGGAUUAGAAACCCCAGUAGUCC